GUAGGGGGCAAGCGUUGUCCGGAUUCAUUGGGCGUAAAGAGCGUGUAGGCGGCCAGGUAGGUCGGUUGUGAAAACUGGAGGCUCAACCUUCAGAGGUCGACCGAAACCAUCUGGCUAGAGUCCGGGAGAGGAGAGUGGAAUUCCUGGUGUAGCGGUGAAAUGCGCAGAUAUCAGGAAGAACACCCGUGGCGAAAGCGGCUCUCUGGAACGGUACUGACGCUGAGACGCGAAAGCGUGGGGAGCGAACAGGAUUAGAUACCCUGGUAGUCCACGCCGUAAACGAUGGGCGCUAGGUGUGGGAGGUGUCGACUCCUUCCGUGCCGCAGCUAACGCAUUAAGCGCCCCGCCUGGGGAGUACGGCCGCAAGGCUA
Molecule: ribosomal RNA, 371 nt
Filed under: uncultured bacterium
Lineage: Bacteria
Description: bacterial SSU rRNA
Rfam family: Bacterial small subunit ribosomal RNA
Source: RNAcentral